UACGUAGGGACCAAGCGUUGUUCGGAUUUACUGGGCGUAAAGGGCGCGUAGGCGGCGCGGUAAGUCACUUGUGAAAUCUCUGAGCUUAACUCAGAACGGCCAAGUGAUACUGCAGUGCUAGAGUGCGGAAGGGGCAAUCGGAAUUCUUGGUGUAGCGGUGAAAUGCGUAGAUAUCAAGAGGAACACCUGAGGUGAAGACGGGUUGCUGGGCCAACACUGACGCUGAGGCGCGAAAGCCAGGGGAGCAAACGGG
RNAcentral lists this ribosomal RNA (253 nucleotides) under uncultured bacterium. RNAcentral describes it as "partial 16S ribosomal RNA". It matches the Rfam family "Bacterial small subunit ribosomal RNA", at positions 524 to 776 of the family's 1533-position model. The record is from RNAcentral.